This 1040-nucleotide long non-coding RNA is filed under the name Homo sapiens (human). Its description in RNAcentral is "HSALNT0146886". Lineage: Eukaryota; Metazoa; Chordata; Mammalia; Primates; Hominidae. The record is from RNAcentral.
UGCUUCUCGAACCUGGAAUGAAUUGAAUUCUGAAAUGAAGAUUUAGAGCAGAAUCAAAGCUGAGUGGGAAUAGCUUCUCUCAGGAAAAGUCUGGAACACGAGAUGAUAUUCUCCACUCGAAUAAGAUGCUGGCAGGAACUGGAUAGAAAACUGGUGGAGAUACAGUGGAUGUAUAUGAAGAAGGAGCUAUCUGUCACUUGAUUGAUGACUAAAGCUCCAACUUCCUUCCUCACAUCACUGAUGUUACGCAUGUAGGACAUGAAGUCUGGAUGAAAGGGCCUUGGAACUCAUCCGGGAAGUUUAGUCCAUCACUUUACCAAGCUAAUUUGCGACAAUCAGUCUUAGGGUGGCCCUACAGAAACCACAGUUAUUUCCAGUCUGAGCUGUUUCCCAGUUGGGACAAACAGGAAUAAUUGCCCCUGAAGAGGCCUCUGAAGUGAUUGAUCCACCUGUGUUAGGCAGGCAUAUAGUCCAGGUCUUACUGCUUCUAGCUACUUGGCACCCCUCCAUUCUCUGCCUCCAUCUCCGACCUGCAGGUUAUAUUUUUCCUUCAAUGAGUUCCCUUGCUCUUUAGACUGCCCUUGGCACUCCUGUAAUAGGCAUUUUCACACAUGUAGAAAUAGGAAAGAUGAGAGAUCGCGCAGAACAAUUUGUCUUGGUCAAUGGAUUACCUGUAGAUCAUCAGGUUGACUGAAAUUUUGAGGUCUAUGUUGUGUCCCUUGCAAUAUAAUUUUAACACAGUAUCUUUCUGAUGAUAUGGUCAUUUAAGUGAGCACUAGCAAUGCACAUGUUGCUGUGUGUGCUGAAAUACUCCCAGACUAGGUCCAAGUUAUGGACGAAAGUGUAUUGUUCUCAACGACCUCUAGCCUGGUGCUACUCCAAGUGGUGAUCCAUAGACCAGUGUCCAUCUACAAAAUUUUUAUUCCAGAUCCACUUUGGAACAAGAACAGAAAUUAAGAGCAAGAGUUUAGGAACAUUAAGGCAAUUGUACAGUGAUUUUAUGUCUGUUGAAUCUAGUAAUUAAAAUGUGUAAAACAAAA